AACGAACGCUGGCGGCAUGCCUAACACAUGCAAGUCGAACGAGACCUUCGGGUCUAGUGGCGCACGGGUGCGUAACGCGUGGGAACCUGCCCUUAGGUUCGGGAUAACUCCUCGAAAGGGGUGCUAAUACCGGAUAAUGUCUUCGGACCAAAGAUUUAUCGCCUAUGGAUGGGCCCGCGUUGGAUUAGCUAGUUGGUAGGGUAAAAGCCUACCAAGGCGACGAUCCAUAGCUGGUCUGAGAGGAUGAUCAGCCACACUGGGACUGAGACACGGCCCAGACUCCUACGGGAGGCAGCAGUGGGGAAUAUUGGACAAUGGGCGAAAGCCUGAUCCAGCAAUGCCGCGUGAGUGAUGAAGGCCUUAGGGUUGUAAAGCUCUUUUACCCGGGAUGAUAAUGACAGUACCGGGAGAAUAAGCUCCGGCUAACUCCGUG
Molecule: ribosomal RNA, 433 nt
Filed under: uncultured bacterium
Lineage: Bacteria
Description: partial 16S ribosomal RNA
Rfam family: Bacterial small subunit ribosomal RNA
Source: RNAcentral